RNAcentral lists this ribosomal RNA (460 nucleotides) under uncultured bacterium. RNAcentral's name for it is "partial 16S ribosomal RNA". It matches the Rfam family "Bacterial small subunit ribosomal RNA", at positions 338 to 795 of the family's 1533-position model. The record is from RNAcentral.
CCUACGGUAUGCAGCAGUGAGGAAUAUUGGUCAAUGGGCGCGAGCCUGAACCAGCCAAGUCGCGUGAAGGAUGACUGCCCUACGGGUUGUACACUUCUUUUAUAAAGGAAUAAAGUGAGGCACGUGUGCCUUUUUGUAUGUACUUUAUGAAUAAGGCUCGGCUAACUCCGUUCCAGCAGCCGCGGUAAUACGGAGGAUCCGACCGUUAUCCGGAUUUAUUGGGUUUAAAGGGAGCGUAGAUGGGUUGUUAAGUCAGUUGUGAAAGUUUGCGGCUCAACCGUAAAAUUGCAAUUGAUACUGGCAGUCUUGAGUACAGUAGAGGUAGGCGGAAUUCGUGGUGUAGCGGUGAAAUGCUUAGAUAUCACGAAGAACUCCGAUUGCGAAGGCAGCUUACUAAACUGCCACGCACAUUGAUGCUCGAAAGUGUGGGUAUCAAACAGGAUUAGAUACCCCUGUAGUC